Molecule: ribosomal RNA, 207 nt
Filed under: uncultured bacterium
Lineage: Bacteria
Description: partial 16S ribosomal RNA
Rfam family: Bacterial small subunit ribosomal RNA
Source: RNAcentral
CGCGUAGGCGGUUUGUCAAGUCAGAUGUGAAAGCCCAGGGCUCAACCCUGGAACUGCAUUUGAGACUGACUCACUUGAGUGAUAGAGAGGUAAGCAGAAUUCCCAGUGUAGAGGUGAAAUUCGUAGAUAUUGGGAGGAAUACCGGUUGCGAAGGCGGCUUACUGGCUAUCAACUGACGCUGAGGCGCGAAAGCGUGGGGAGCAAACA